AACAACUUUAAAAGUGGAAGAAAGCAAUGAUGGGGGGUGGGGAGGAGAGGGGACCAGUGUGGAGAUGAGUUACCUCUGAGGUAGUUCAGAGCGGGGUUCGCCCCCCCCCCUUAUCUUUUUCUUUCUGUUCCUAGAAGACUAAAAACUUGAAGAUGGACAUGAGUGCCCUGGGAACCACUAUUCUGUUUGAUCGGUCUGUAGGUUCUCCUGCAGGUUUUGGAGCGUCAGGGAGAACGAGGGAGAACCACUAACUGACACCUGGGAAAUCCCUGCAAAAUAGUGGAAGUGAAAGAUGGUGGGAGGGCAUGGAAGAGCAAAGUACAGCGUCAAAGUGAGCACCUAAUUUUGCCAGAUAUGAUGAGGGGAGUCUCCCUGCCGGACCCCAUC
RNAcentral lists this long non-coding RNA (387 nucleotides) under Mus spicilegus (steppe mouse). Its description in RNAcentral is "lncRNA (ENSMSIG00000006239.1)". The record is from RNAcentral. Lineage: Eukaryota; Metazoa; Chordata; Mammalia; Rodentia; Muridae.